RNAcentral lists this transfer RNA (87 nucleotides) under Oscillospiraceae bacterium. RNAcentral describes it as "tRNA-Leu". It matches the Rfam family "tRNA". From Rfam's summary of the family: Transfer RNA (tRNA) molecules are approximately 80 nucleotides in length. Their secondary structure includes four short double-helical elements and three loops (D, anti-codon, and T loops). Further hydrogen bonds mediate the characteristic L-shaped molecular structure. tRNAs have two regions of fundamental functional importance: the anti-codon, which is responsible for specific mRNA codon recognition, and the 3' end, to which the tRNAs corresponding amino acid is attached (by aminoacyl-tRNA synthetases). tRNAs cope with the degeneracy of the genetic code in two manners: having more than one tRNA (with a specific anti-codon) for a particular amino acid; and 'wobble' base-pairing, i.e. permitting non-standard base-pairing at the 3rd anti-codon position. Lineage: Bacteria; Bacillati; Bacillota; Clostridia; Eubacteriales; Oscillospiraceae. The record is from RNAcentral.
GCCGCUGUGGUGAAAUCGGCAGACACGAGGGACUUAAAAUCCCUUGGUAGCAAUACCGUACCGGUUCAAGUCCGGUCAGCGGCACCA